CGACAAUAUCGCAUCGGGUAAAUGACGAGCGCCAUUUCUGGUGGUAAACGUUCAGUCGAGAGUUUUUAGGGAUGCAACAUCGGUCUCUGAAAUCCGAAUAUGAUUGGCAACGCCGAGUUAGGAAUUGCUUUUGCCAGAGAAUACUAACAGUCUGCGGCAUUAUUGUUUUCGUGAAAAACUUGGGUUGUGGUCAAAACUUUAAGGGAAAGAAUGGAUAUGUACGAGAUGAAGCGCUUCUUUUUGCGCCAAGGAAGAAGAGGGCAAUGAUAUCAAAGAAAUCGGGACAUAUCACUCCAAGACAAAUGAAAUCCAUAACGGAAAUCAUUUACGAUUUUUUUAUUAUGGAGAAGAGACGACCUAUUUUAAAACGUAUUAGGCAAAAAAUAUUAGACAGAUAGGCGUUGGUUCUUUUAGGCCAAAUGGGCUUCAAGUAGGUUAUUUAAUAAUAUAUUAAUUAAACAUUACAAAUAAAGAUAAAGAUACCAUGAUUUUGCAAGUGGCAAAAAACAGAAGAUCAACGCAAACAGGAUACCUACUUUUAUAGAGAACUGAAUACUCCGAAUUGUGUUUUGGAUUCCUCAUCGAACGUAAGAGUGAUUUUGUGUAAAACUUCUGGGGUGGUUUAGAAUGUCAGCCAUUUUAUGAAAAUAUGUUUAACAAACAAACAACAAUUUUUAAUUUAGAGAUAAUCCAGGCAUCAUCAAACGUACGGCCUUGCCGUUCGAAAUACCUCAGAAUAAGAUGGAGAACACGAAGCGACUUUAUUCCCGAAACGUGCAACUCUCCGAAUAUUAAAUUCCCGACUUUCUUGGCCUGCCGGAAAAUUUGCUUAACCAUCUUUUAAUUAAAAAUGUCAUUAACUCGUUAAAUCGGUUAUUAAAACUUUUGCGGUAAUAUCGUGCCGCGCGGUUGGCGUUGAUUUGAUUUUAUCUCGAAAUUUAAUUUCGUCAGUCUGACGGGGUUAAAAAUUAAGAGCAUCUGGAAAAACCUGUAACAAGGUGUCCCGGAUAAUAUCCCCAGAUAAAGUUAAAUUUAAAUGCAAAUUAUUUUUGGUUUCAGAGUAUGUUCUAUAUUGAGUAUAGGAUAUCCCCGUUUUGGUUAGUUUUGGUUAGAUGUGAUUUUGAUGCAUAAUGCCGUGAAGCUAAGAAAAGUAAAUUAUCAAAGAUGGACUAAGAAAUAAUGUAAGCAAAGCAAAUUCUUUGAUUUUAGUAUUUUUUCCUUCCAAGCACAUUUAUUGAAAUUUUAAAUUUAUUAAAUUAAAUUGAAUUAAAAGAAAUAUUAAAAUAAAAAAGAAUCUCAAAUACUUGUUAGUUCACCUUUAAAAUAACUUAUUUUUGUUAGCUUUAGAGCAAUUAAGCAACUUAACUUUUCUCCAAUUGAAAAAGAUACAUAUAGAAGGAAAUCAUAUUAUACAGUUAAUAUUAUGUCAAAAUUAUAGUUAAUUCUUCAACGAAGCUUGAACGCAUUGGUCGAGAAUCUCUGAAAUCUAAAACAUCGUAAUUCUAAAAGCAGAUAAAAGAAAUGGUGGUCAUGAGCACAAAGAAAAAAAUUCAAAGAUAUAUUAAAAUGGUUGUCUGGAGCAUAUUUUUCUUGUAACGGUCAAAUUUAUGAACAAACGUCGGGAACAGUUAUGGGUUCUCUAAUAUCACCAGUCAUCGCCAAUGUAUUUAAGGUGAGCCUUUGAGGAGAAAGCCCUCUACACAUUCCAUCUAAAACCAAAAUUACUACAUUAGAGAUAUUAAGCAUUCUACCAUAAAAACACAACCUUCCAAAGACAAUCCGAAUGCAACCCCAUACUUGCAAAUAUUGUCCCUAUUUACAUUCAAAACAUCACAUCCACGUAUCAAAAGUUCUUGAGAAAUAUAACGUUAAAAGUAGACUUAUCACUUGUCCAAAAAUCUCACAUCUUCGAUCCGUCAAAGAUAAAAUUCCAUUUGAGAAAUUACGAGUUUACAUCAUUCCUUGCAAAUGGAGGAACAGGACGAAAAAUAUCAACUAUGCUCAAAAACCAUAAAAGAGCCUUAAAAGUACAACAAAUAAACUCGUCAGCAGUUGCAGGACAUAACCAUGAAAUUGCACAUCAAAUUUUCCACCAAGGAAAAAUCAGAGAAUCCAUGGAAGUCUUUAUCUAUAUAUAGAAAUAUAUAAGUAGAAUAUUUGGAAAUAUAUCGUUUCAGUUCUUUACUUCAACCCUAAUCAUCCAAUCGGGUUAUACGAAAUCAACUUAAAGCCACAAGAAAUGAAGGUAAUCUUGAAGUAUAUACAUUGGUCUUUGUUUAAAAGAUAUUCGCUGUUAAACAAUUUUUAGGAAGUUGUGUUCGAAGAGAAGUCAUAAAAUUUUUAAAAUGUAAUUUUUUGAGAGCAAUAUUUGAAGAAUAUACUCUAUCAAACAUGAUGAAUAGUAUCGAUCUAAACAAAUUAUAAACAUAAACACAUAGAUAUAGAGGCCAUCGGAACCAUAAAAUUCCUUUUAAAAUUCUCGUAACCAAACCGGAUCAAAUCCACGCCACUGAAUUGUCCCGAACUAAAAUAACUCUAAUGGGUUCACGAGGUAAACAUUCCAAACGGAAAACAACUCCACCCCUCAUUGAACACGGCGGAUAAUAUACUGUUUUUGAAAUCAUAUUUUAUCUAUUGUUCGAAAUAGAACACGCAUUAUUCUAACACAUGUUUGGACGUCAGUUGUCGUGUUGCUUGUUUGACAUGCUUUAUCGAUAAGAACACAGGAAAGACAAACAAAAAGUCGCUGAGUGGGGGGCUGGGGGAGCGGUUCGUCAAACACUUCGUCGGGGAUUAUCCGGCCGUUGAAAUUUCUUCCCGGAAAGUUCCGAUGGUUAAGCUCCUUUGCGUCUGCUACUAAAGGUUAUAAUUACCAUUGUUAAAGCGACCGACAGAUAGAUCGCUUAUACCGGGUGAACCAAAUUAAGUGUAGCUCCGAAGAUUAGCAAAGUAGUAGUACUUUUCACGCUAAUUAAUAUGGAUUAUGGAACCUAUAAUAAAUUAAAUGAAUGCAAUUUUCCAUAUGAACUAUUGUUAUUUUAUUUUUUUUUGUCUUUUCACAACUUUUGUUGGGUCCUUUUUCACCAUGGAACAAUCGGGAUUUUGCUCGUCAACGACUCGUCCAUGCGCCAUUACCCUUCGGACUAUGUUGCACGUGCCCAGUAUUGUCGCCUUCUGCCCCAGCGUGGUAAUUUUCUUGUGGUUUUCUAUGCCCAAAAGUUGUAAACACUUUGCUCUUUUCCACAAUUCCGUUUGCAGAGAUUGGAAUUAUGGAUACUUUUGCAAGUUUGUAUAUGCCCUUUAGCUCGUGUGCUAAAUCUUGAUAUUUAGUAAUUUUAUCGGUCCUUACCUUAGACAUAUUUUCGUCCAAUGGGAUGCUCACAUCAAUCAGAAACCCCUCUUUCUUCUGCUUGUCGACAACCACUAUAUCUGGUACAUUGUGUCUUACCUGCCGAUCAGUUGUACGUACCUUGUACGUUUCGUUUUCGAUGACAUUUUGCGGUAAGUAUAUGCUGAUGGAUAAUCACUGCAACUUCAUUAUGCCGCUGAAGGUAAUCUUUUGGCGCUAAAUAACUACACGCCGAUAUUAAAUGCUGAAUCGCUUGUUUUAGUAAACAUUUUUUGUAAUUUCGCGUGUGAACUACUUGGUCCUGUGUAGAGCUUAAGAAACCAUCAGUUUUUGGCCUAAGACAUCCUUGGGUAACAUAUCAUGUGGACAGCCUUAGCAUACCUUCCAUGCAGAGCUUUGUUUUUCCAUUCUUCUUCCAUAUCUUUAAUCGAUGUUUUUGUUUGAGGUCGUUGGCGGGCAGCGAGGUUCAGUGGAGAGGCACUUUCGUCUAUGCGUCUAUGGAUGGAUGAAUGGAUGUCUAUGGAUGUGUGAAGUCUAUCGGCGCUGUUUGUGAGGUACAUUCUGCUUGUUGAGGAUUUUUAAUGGUGAGUUCGAUGCUUUGUCAUUAGAACCCUCAUCUCCCGGUCCACUGCUUCCAACUCAGAUUGGCUCCACUUUAUAACACCGAACGUCUGCGAGAAAACCGGCAAAGCCCAGGAGUUGAUUGCAGCGGUUUGGUGCCCCGCGUACAAUUUGGUUUUCAAUAUUUGUUUGACUCGGUUUAAAAGCCUUUCCUUUACUGAUUUUUUUGCUACUGCCUGAUUGGUCUUAAGUACUUGGUUUAUACCUAAAUAUCUAUAGGAUUCUCCUUCCAUCAAAGGGUCAAACUCAGAUCCUUCCAUGAAUUUCAUGCCCUCGUCUGCCUGAAUCUCACCCCGCUUGAAAUUGAUGAACGUUGCACUUCUCUACUCCAAAUUCCAACCGGAUGUCGUUUGUAAAUGUUUACACUAGUGGAACUCAUACCCCCCAAAACGUGGACUAUUAGGACCACAAAAUCCAUUUUGCUCGUUUUUCCCUCUCUUUGAUUUCGAUGUUAGUUUCUGCUGGAGCAGAGAACUUUAUGACAAACAUCGAGUAUUUCACUUAUCCAACAGAACUAAGUCUGGCUGAUUAGCCCGGAGUCAGGUUGUAGUGAGAAAAGCAUAAUUCCAGUAGAUGCGGCAAUUGUUGUUUUCUACCACUGUUUCAAUAUUACCUGGGACGUAUGGGAGCAUUCGUGUUAGUGAAGUAAAGUACCCGAAGAGCCGCGUUAUGCCGGUAAAUGUAGCUCGAAGCCGCUGAUGGCAAAUGCACAAGCAUCUCGGGAUGUUGACGGAAGCACCCGCAGCUAAUGUCAGCGAUGUUAGAGAUUUGACUACGGUAUGUGAGCAGAUCUUAGGAACACGAAAGUGAGCCUCCUAGACAGGUCCAGAGUCUGGAGGUGCCUGUAGAACAAUCCAUGCUGCGGCUUACUGACGUGGUCUUCUAGGAGCUUUUGCUGUUCCGCUCUCUUAAUCUGGGAGUGAGUGCUGGUUAUCUGAAUCCAAUGUGAAUGUGAGCCCUAACGGUCAGCCGCUUUUCUGCUCAAAAGAGGAAUGCUCAGACAUUGGCAGCUUCCUAAUCAUUUGCGAGUCUCGGAAGUGGGUCCACGCUAUUAGCGAUCUUGCAGGCAAUGCCCAAGACAAGCCUGCCAUGCAGACACUCCAGACUUAGAAGACCUCUUCCUCCCUGAUCUCGUGGAAGCUAUAUAUUAUUGUUAUUAUCAUAUUUUCACCUUACCAUCACUGUUUAUUUACCAUACCACGUGCAUACAUGAGCUAAAGGACGAUAUGCCUAAGCACUGUGAUCGCCACAACUACUACAACAGGGGAUCUGAAUCAAUUGUACAAAUAAAUGGUACAUUAAUUAUUUCAAUGUUCUACCAACUGUUGUUGUUAAGAACCUGUCAUACAAUAAAUUUUGUAAAAUAAUAAAACAAUUUAUAUUGGAGUAUGCAUUUUAUACUGCAGAUGAGUAUAUCCGUGUCCGGAGGAGAUGAAAUCUUUCUACAGAUGAUUUUGGGUGGUAAGCUCCGAAACUCCUUUCUGGUUUUGAUGUUUAGGUCGUUAAGCUCUGUUGCGUUCCAAGCAAUGACCCCAUAGCUGUAUGCAACAACCGGUAUUGCAUAGGCAUUGAUGGCACGUGCCCAAUUUCCGGCAGAAAAUUUGAUCGUAGUAUGGAGCGAAGCCUUUGCAAAGAUGAUUUUGUCAGUUGUUUCUUGGAUCUCUUAUGGCCUAUACCCCAUGUUCUGCAAGUAGCCCAAAUACUUAUACUAUUCGUGAACCAUGCCCACUAUUGUUCCAUGAUUUCGAGUGGUCCACUGUGUUAUAAGGUAAAGCGGGGCAAGUGCGAACAAAUGUCCAUAGAUAAUAAUAAACAACUAUGAAAAUUACUUCCUUUAAAUUUACGAGUUUUCGUAUAUUUGUCAUAUUAAUGUGAUUAUUCACUUACAUAUUAGUAAUAUAUAUUUAUUGCAAAUAUAGUAUUUGCCAAUUUUGGGCGCAUGUAUUUUUUAAAUUAUAUGUUACGCACGUUCCCCACUGGUGAAGGACAAGAGCAUAAUAUGUCAUUAUUUUUGCUAUUAAUGCGUUCUGUUCUAGGUGGGGCUAGUACAGAAUACCUACAUAUCUGCAUUUUUUAUUUUUCAUUCAACUAAAAUAAAAAAACAUUAAUUAAUGUUGAACGAAAUAUAUAAAAAAAAUGAAUAUAUUUCUUAUGAUUCAAACACUUUAGGAGCUGUCGCAAAAAUAUACUUUUCGCGAUUAGCCGUUUUUGGUAUUUUUGAGACAGGCAGUGUUUUCUCUAUGUCCGACAGUACGGUGCAGACAUCGUUGCGCUUUAAAAUAAAUUGUGAGCCAUUUUCGGUCUAUUACUUCUGCUUCGUCAUCAUUAACCAAACAGACAUAUUUGCGCACUUUCUUUUUUCCAGAAAAAUUGUUAUCUUUCAGAUAUCUUUGGCUUACAAACUUUUUUAUUUCUUUUUGAUUUAUUUUUUGGUUUACUUUUUUUUGGUUGUAUUCUUAAAAUUUUGUCAAUGUCGGCGCUUGUUAUUACCUCUGCUCCUAAGCACAUCCUUUAAAUUAGCUUUAAAGUUAAAAUAAGACAAAUUUUGUUAAAUUGAUUGUGUCAGAUUUUUUUAUACUAACAUUAAUUAAUAAUAUUUUUUACUGUCACUGGUUUGUUAUUUUCUUUUUUUAUUAUAUCCUAGUUUAAGUUGCCACAAUGUAAUUAAUAUUUAAGAUAAAUUUGUUGAAAGAAUAAAGUAGAAUAAACAUGGGUUGAUUUCAACCACAACCGUCUCGUGUUCUUCGGAUAUUAUUGAAAUAUUUUCUUGUGAGCUUGAACUUGACCCUGCCUCAACGGUGAUGGCACCUUAUUAGGGUUUGUUGAUUAAAAAUAUGGUUUUUUUGUCAACGUUCUUGAGUGAUUUGAAGACUCUCAAAUCAAUGUCAAUAGUCGUGUUUAUCACAUCUGCUCCAAGAUCACUAGCGUGUCCGUCAAAAUUAACUAACAC
This is a long non-coding RNA of Cylas formicarius (sweet potato weevil), 6920 nucleotides long. RefSeq lists it as uncharacterized. Lineage: Eukaryota; Metazoa; Arthropoda; Insecta; Coleoptera; Brentidae. The record is from RefSeq and is a predicted model, not a curated record. The transcript has 5 exons.